GAGGGACGUAACCAGCUCUGGGCUGAGAACAUUUGUAUGUCUGUCGGCCUGUCCAUCAACACCAGUGAAAUGCCCCAGGCUCGAGGAUUCUCCGCACCCAAAUGAAUAGACAUCCCCAUCCUCAGAUACCACGAAAGUUGUGUAAUCACCUGUUGCUACAUGUACAGCCUUAAUUUUACUCAGGGACUCCACCACCUUCGGGACAGACUCACAUUCCUCAUUCCCAUGGCCCAAGCAGCCAUAACGUGCCCAACCCCAUGUGCACACCCGGCCAUCCCGGCCCACAACUGCAG
Molecule: unclassified non-coding RNA, 293 nt
Filed under: Hevea brasiliensis (rubber tree)
Lineage: Eukaryota; Viridiplantae; Streptophyta; Magnoliopsida; Malpighiales; Euphorbiaceae
Source: RNAcentral